Elaeis guineensis (African oil palm) is the source of this 6315-nucleotide long non-coding RNA. RefSeq lists it as uncharacterized. The record is from RefSeq and is a predicted model, not a curated record. Lineage: Eukaryota; Viridiplantae; Streptophyta; Magnoliopsida; Arecales; Arecaceae.
AUAAGCCCGCACGCCUCUCUUCUCCGUGCCCCAAAACAGACCUGCAGCGAUCCCUAUUCUCGUGCCCCAAAACAAACCCUCUCUUCCCCGUGCGCCUCUCCUCUCUUCCCAGUGCCCCAAAACACCGCCCCUUAUCCUCGCGACGCAUGCUGCCCCCUCCUCUCACGGACCGCCGUUCGCCGCCACCACCGUCGUUUGCCAACUCCACCGCCUCUCACCGUCGCAACGCAUGCUGUGGUCGUUCGCCUCCUCUCACGAACCGCUGUUCGCCACCAUUGCCGUUCGCAGCCUCUCAGGACCAUCGUUCGCCUCCUCUUAUGACCUCCAUUCGUCUGCGUUCGUCACCGACCUUCGUGAUCUGUUCGGACUUUCCAUCUACCGGCCAUCGCCAUUUUUUCGAGGUCUUAUCUUCUCCCAUUGGCACUUCCGUCUUCCCUUAGUCGAGACAGAGCCUUCAUUUUCUUCCUCCAUCACCGUCAUCAUCGCCGGUCUUUCCAUCUUCGCUCAUGGUCUUACCAUUUUCGCUCAUGGCCAGUCUUCCUCCAUCUUUAUCUUCUGUGGCUCUUCUCAUGAGAAGGCAAGAUCUCCUUCCCUUUUCCUUCAAGCACCAAAGCCUCCUCCGACGAUUCCUUCCUCCAACGGCCACCGAACCUCUCUCUCUCUUCUUCUCCUUCUCUCUCGAUCUCCCUCUCUUUCUUUCUCCCCUCUCUCUCCCUCCCUCCCUCUCCUCCCCACUCUUCCCCCAUCGUCUCCCUUCCCUCUUGUAGACGGCCGACUCCGAGUCCUUUUUUCUCUUCUUUGGCUGAUGGCAAGGGUAUCCCGGCUCUUUCUCUUGCUCCCCCAUCUCCGAUCGGGAGUCGGCCAUACUCGAGACCCCUCCCUGUUGUGCCCUUGUUUUGCUCCCUUGCUACCGGUGUUCUGUGGGGAGUUAAUUACCCGAUCGGGGCCUUCUUUCUCCUCUUCCUGCUGCUCUCCCAUCUCUGGCUGGGAGCCAGCCAUACUCGAGACCCCCUCUAGCAUCCUAUGGGGAGUCACCGUUCUUCCUUGACGAAGUUCGAUCUUCGAAAACAGGUGGCCCCAUUCUCACCUACGGUAGGCACCCGUUCCUUCUCCGGUCGGAUUUGAUCCUCCCCUUUCUCUUUUCUUGUGGGGGGUUGUCGAUCUUUAGAACCUAGUUGGCCCCUUCCCACCUCUGGUCUCCGGUCAGUCGUGGGUCAUUCGCCAGAAUUGCAUCGGACUCCCUACUCUCCCUCCCCUCCUCCGAUUGUCUGUUUGCCGGAAUUUCAUGGGGAACCCGUGCCAGGCCCUCCUCUCCCUCCCCUCCUUCAGUUGUGAUUUCAUGUCUAUAAUCUGUUUGUGAUUUUAUUUUUGGAAUAAGAAAUCUAUUUUUGGAUUUUUUUUUGUUUGAUUUUUCUUUAUUGUCUUAAAUCAUGAGUCUCAAGUGAUUUCACGCUGACAAUUCAUUUGUAGUUUUGUUUUUAUAAUGAGAAAUCUAUUAUUUGGAGAUCGAGGAUUUAGAUAUUUUUCUUACCUGUCCUUCAAUGCAUGUUUCUUUGCUUUUUCAAAAUAUUAGAUGGGAUUGAAAAGAAUUGGGGAUGAAGGGUUUGCUAACUUUUUGAUCCUCAGAUUCUCCUAUCCUCUGUCUUCUUCGAACUCCAUGAAUGUUGGUAGCAAGCAUUUCUCGUUCAUUAUAUGGUAGCCCCACUUGCUCUAGUUUUGUAGCAUGCCAGGAUUUAAAUUUUAAUACCUAUCUUCAGAUUUUUGUUUUAAGAUUUGUAUGAAGAGGCUGUGACGACUUUGGAUUAAAUUUUGCUGAUUCAAUUAUUUCAAAUGGCAGCAAUCUUGGACGGUUUGCUUCUAUAGGCAAUUGAUUGCAGUCAUUUUGAUUUAGCUGCAGAUUAAAUAAUGAAUCUGAGCCUCCUCUUCGUCUUCCCUUCUUUGUUGUUCUAAUUAUUUAGUAAUUGUGUAUGCUGAUUUUUUAAUUUUGGAUUAAAUGUUUCACUUGAAGUUGUCAUCCAGACUCUUCUUGAUAUUGAUUCAAAAAGUUUCACUCAUUUAAUCACAGUUUUGGAGAGAUAUGGUUAAGUCAUAGCUAAGUUAUAUCCUCAUCAUGAUAAGCAAGUUCUGCUAAUAGACGAAGUCAGUUCCUACUGGAAGAACAAUACUCAGAUGACUGCUAUUGCUAUUGACAGAAUGAUGAGUUACCGACUCAUAUCCAAUUUGUCAAUUGUGAGAUGAAUUUUUUCUCUUUCUAAUGUCAACCAAUUCCAUAUUUCAGAUCAUCCACGGGAGGUAUGCUUUGCAUCUUAGUACUUUUAUAAUCUGUUACGGUUUAUUGGUAAGGUUUAUGAUGUUAUUGCAUUUUGUCAUAGAACUUGGCCAGCACUAUGCUGUUCUUAGUACUACUGCAAAUUUGAUAAGAUGGAUUUAUCAUUUUCUUUUCAGAUUGACAUGGUGAACCUUAGUUUAAAAUAGUAAAUCUAAAUCUGCAUAAUCACAUCACAAUAUUUACAUAGCUUAGUUAAGAAAGAUACAAGUGCACAUUCUUUUUUCAAGGGAGCUAUUGAAUACAUUUUUUUAACUUGUUUGAGCUUUGGUGCAGCGCAUAUCGGCAGAUUUUUUUUUGAGAUGUUUAAUGGAUAUCUAAAUCGAGGUAAGCCAAUUGCAAACAUGACAUUUAGGAUCUAUGGUAUGCUUAGCAUAGAUACAAGUGUGGGGGCAAUGUCUUCUUUCAAGCAAGUUCAUUACAUGAAGAUUCCUCUAAAACAAAUGUUCCUCAUUCAGGUAAAUUGCACUAACCCAUGGCCCUUCAUAAUAAUCCUACUCAAAGGAAGGAACACCACAAAUUGAGAAAAAGUGAUGAAGAAAUGCAUUCUCCUAAGAUGUUGGACCAAUUUGUUAUGAUCAAUACCUGUGCAUGUCUAAUGAUUAUCUGUACCAAAUUAUAGUACAUUUGAGUGUUUUGGAAUAGAUGAUAUGUUCUUAUGAAUAGCCUCUAUUUACAUGAAGUAGAUUAUUAGCAUAGCAUUGUCAACAGUGGCUAACUUCGUUAUAGGAUGGUGGAUGUUUAGUUUGGAUUAUGGUGGUUGGUGUGGUUUGGAUUACGAUGGUUAUUUUGGUUUGAUAAUAUCUUUUAUGGUGGCUGAUUUUAAAACUUAAAUUAUGGUUAGUUUGACAAAUUCUUGAUUAAUGGAUAUAGAUAGUUUGCUGCUUCUUGAUUGAUUGUAGUGUCGUUUAGAUAUUUUUUUUUACAUAUUUUCUUAUCAAUGCCUCCAUCUAUCUCCUUUUAUUGUUUAUUUUCAGGCAUGGGAGAAUAAUUAUAAAAAAAACCAAAGAUUGUACAUUCUUUCAUUACUUUGAAUAUAAAAGUCGAAGGUCUAAUGUUAGUAUCUAUUCUCGAGUCUUUUAAAUAGAAGAUUUCAUUUAAUAUUUGAUUACUCAAGUUUGAUAUGAUAUACUUCAUUGAUGAUUAUAUAUAGUCAAUAAAUCUGUUUAUCUUUGCAUUAACUUAUUUUUUUUUACUAUUUCAUUUAGGUCAUACUUUUUACAUGAAGAAAAUAUCAAAAUGAUCGGAAUGCUGGACAAUUGAGAAAGUUUCAAGUUUGAACAAUGAGAGAUCCUUGUUUUUUUCUUUGUUGGGAGUUGGACCUUGUCUAGAAGGGAAGAGUUCCUCUUUUAUGUCUAAGAAGAGACUCCAAAAGGAGUUGAAGCAGUCGCAAAAGCAUAAUCAAGAGAUGAAGAAUGAGAUUGUAGAUAUUAAGAUGCAGAUAAAGCGUCAACAAAAGAUUUUGGAAGCUUUAUGUGUAUCACAGAAUAUCUCUUUAUCAGAUUUAUGACGGAUCCCAUGAUUCAAGAACUUGUGAAGAUGUGGUUUUGAGGACAUACAUGGCAGAGCAAUCUUUUGCACUUUAGAUUGUCGACUUAUGAACUCAUUUGUUUUGUGAUAGAUAGUUGGAUAAUGAGUUUGUUUGCUUUUGGUUAGAGGUGAAUUAUUUGCUUUUGGUAGACACAUGGUCUCUUGGUGCUUUUAGUUGAAAAUACCAUCUUUUUGGAUGUCUGGACAAUUUACUUUUUAGAUUAUAAACUUUGUGUAUGGAUUCAUCUUGAUUAUGAAUUGCAUGUGAGUUUAUACUUUAGUUGUUGAAUGAUUUGUUAACUGAAAAUGGAUGAUCAAUUGCAUGUGAGUUUAUACUUUAGUUGUUGAAUGAUUUGUUAAUUGAAAAUAGAUGAUUUACUUGGUAUUUGAAUAUAUACCAUAAAAUAUGAUAUUUUAUACAUGUUAUAAUUGAACUAUCAAUGAAGCAAAAUUUUGCCAUCGCAAAACACUCUUGUUGCAAAACAUCCUUGUUUUGCAACGUUAGCGAAAUCGUUCCACGACAUUUGAGAAACAUCGCCAAAGAUCCUUGUUCAUUUCACAAUGUUGGCAAAAUAUCGCACAAUCAAUCGUGUUUCGCAAUGUUUGUCAGACGUCAUGAAAGACAUUUGUUCCACGACGUUAAUGAAAUGUUGCUUAAUCAACCUAUAUUUUGUGACAUUUGAGAAAUGUCAUGAAAGAUUUUUGUUCCACGACGUUGGUGAAAUAUCGCUUAAUCAAACUACGUUUCGUAACGUUUAGGCAUAUGUCGUAUUUUUGACGUCCUUUCCGUGAUGUUUUAUGACAAACGUCGUGAUUGAUCAUUAGCAACGUGGCUAGCGUAGACGAUCUUGAUGACGUUGUACCCAACAUCGUAAAAAGACUUUAGUGACAUUUUGGAGAACUUUUGACAAUAUUUUUAAACAUCGUGGAAAAUCUUUUUUCUUAUAGUGAACUUGUAACAGCUCCUUUUAAUAGGGCUGAUCUGCCGUCCAAUGAAGUUGAAGCUGAUUUUAUAUUUAAUCUUGAUGAGUCAGAGGAUGACAAUCCAUUCAUAAAUAAUGAUGAGAUAGAAAACGAUACAUUAGUUGAUUAUUGUGAUUUCGGAGAAGGGCCUGCACAUCGAGGAAGAUACGAAUAUUGAUGAGUAGAUCUAUAUUCUUUAUUGAAUCUUCUCUUGUAAUAAUGAUAUACAAUAUAAUUCUAUUUAUUAUAAUAUAAUUUAUUUUUUACUAUUAUUAUUCAAUAUUAUAUUCAUUUAUAUGUCAAGAAUUACAGGUAUGGCACCAUGAGACAAACGACGAUGUUCAUGUUCGCAUCCUACCCCUGAGGUUGAGGCACCUUCAUCCAUUUCCACUGUCGCACCAUCAGAGUCGCCAGAGGGUCCUGAACUGGCAGGUCAUAGUGAGACAGGUCCGAGUGAGGCCAGUCUCCACCGAUGGUGAGACGAGGGUGAGGUCUAUCGAAGAACCUUACUUUAGAGCAUUGGAGAUGCGAGCACCCAAGACAGCAUCUUCAUAUUGAGAUACCAUCCCACUAUACCAGGCCCAUUAGGGGAUGGUGCGAGCCGUGGCAGACUGAGCUGGGCAUCAUAUGCCGCAGCUAUGCUCCCAUGAUACUUUUCGAUUGGUGUUACAUUGAUGUAUUUGAUAUUAUUGAUUUUGAGGAGGAUUGUGUGCGGACCAUGGGGUGAAGACGGCAUGGCAGCGCCCUAUGACAGUAUCAUUAUGGAUGAUUGGGCUCUCGUAUGCCAGCAUUACAAGGAUCCGACGUAUCAGAGACGAUGUGCCCAGAACAUCAUGAAUCGGACAAGAGAGAUCAUGUCACAUUGUAGGGGUUCGAGGUCGUUCACUCGUCAUAUGAAGCAGAUGAGAGAUGUAGAAAGUGGUGAGCUUUCUGGUAGGAUCAAUAUUUACCAGUAGACCCACCAGUGACGGUCAGGGGAGUGGAUGACGGGGAGCCAGGAGCUUUUUAAUCGUAUGAUAGGCAUUAGAUCUCAGCCUAUCCCUGAGAGCUCGACCGCACCCACAGAUGAAGAGAUAUGUGAUCAGAUGUUUGGUACGAGAUCCUAUUAUAUUAGGGGUUUAGGAUAUGGGAUCAAUGCUCUCUCAUCCUCACGCUCAUCUAAGGCUGACAUCUAUGCUACUUGCGAUGCUUGGCUGGUGGAGGUGUAGAGGCAGGCUACUAAGGAUUGACAGUGGGCUGAGCAGCGAGCUGAUAAGUUGGUUGCACGCAUCGAUGAGUAGCAGUUGCUUCAAACCCAGAUAAUAGAGCAGAUAGUGCAGAUGGAGUAGAUGAUGUAGCUGAUGAGAUAGCAACAAGCCAGUCUGAGCUCUUCCGAGUGCUCUCCUUCCCCAGUCUGUUCUCCUUCUGUAGAUGUCGAUACUUGAUGACUUGUUUAUGUAGCUUUUUAUUUUAUUUCAAAUUUCUUGUAAUUUUAAUUUAAUAUAAUAAAUAAUAAA